GGCUUAGAGUUUGAUCAUGGCUCAGGAUGAACGCUGGCGGCGUGCUUAACACAUGCAAGUCCAACGAGCCUUCGGGUUAGUGGCGGACGGGUGAGUAACGCGUGAGAAUCUGCCCUCAGGAGGGGGAUAACAGCUGGAAACGGCUGCUAAUACCCCAUAUGCCGCGAGGUGAAAUGAAUUUCGCCUGAGGAUGAGCUCGCGUCUGAUUAGCUAGUUGGUGUGGGUUAUGGCUCACCUAGGCAUCCAUCAGUUUCUGGUCUGAGAA
RNAcentral lists this ribosomal RNA (265 nucleotides) under uncultured cyanobacterium DCM-FREE-8. RNAcentral's name for it is "partial 16S ribosomal RNA". It matches the Rfam family "Bacterial small subunit ribosomal RNA", at positions 1 to 298 of the family's 1533-position model. Lineage: Bacteria; Bacillati; Cyanobacteriota. The record is from RNAcentral.